This 482-nucleotide ribosomal RNA is filed under the name uncultured bacterium. RNAcentral's name for it is "partial 16S ribosomal RNA". It matches the Rfam family "Bacterial small subunit ribosomal RNA", at positions 30 to 507 of the family's 1533-position model. The record is from RNAcentral.
AUUGAACGCUGGCGGCAUGAUUUACACAUGCAAGUCGAACGGUAACAGGCCGCAAGGUGCUGACGAGUGGCGAACGGAUGCGUAAUGCAUCGGAACGUGCCCAGUCGUGGGGGAUAACUACUCGAAAGAGUAGCUAAUACCGCAUACGAUCUAUGGAUGAAAGCGGGGGACCGUAAGGCCUCGCGCGAUUGGAGCGGCCGAUGUCAGAUUAGGUAGUUGGUGGGGUAAAGGCUCACCAAGCCAACGAUCUGUAGCUGGUCUGAGAGGACGACCAGCCACACUGGGACUGAGACACGGCCCAGACUCCUACGGGAGGCAGCAGUGGGGAAUUUUGGACAAUGGGCGCAAGCCUGAUCCAGCAAUGCCGCGUGCAGGAAGAAGGCCUUCGGGUUGUAAACUGCUUUUGUACGGAACGAAACGGCUCUGGUUAAUACCCGGGGCUAAUGACGGUACCGGAAGAAUAAGCACCGGCUAACUACGUG